Molecule: ribosomal RNA, 358 nt
Filed under: Salmonella enterica subsp. enterica serovar Typhimurium
Lineage: Bacteria; Pseudomonadati; Pseudomonadota; Gammaproteobacteria; Enterobacterales; Enterobacteriaceae
Description: partial 23S ribosomal RNA
Rfam family: Bacterial large subunit ribosomal RNA
Source: RNAcentral
GGCCGAAAGGCGUAGUCGAUGGGAAACGGGUUAAUAUUCCCGUACUUGGUGUUACUGCGAAGGGGGGACGGAGAAGGCUAUGUUGGCCGGGCGACGGUUGUCCCGGUUUAAGCGUGUAGGUGUGUGUUCCAGGUAAAUCCGGUUCACUUUAACACUGAGGCGUGACGACGAGGCACUACGGUGCUGAAGCAACAAAUGCCCUGCUUCCAGGAAAAGCCUCUAAGCAUCAGGUAACACGAAAUCGUACCCCAAACCGACACAGGUGGUCAGGUAGAGAAUACCAAGGCGCUUGAGAGAACUCGGGGGAAGGAACUAGGCAAAAUGGUGCCGUAACUUCGGGAGAAGGCACGCUGACACG